AAGAUAGAAAAUAAUGCAUUGGAUGGAUGAUCAGACAUUGAGAAGGAAGGACGCUUUUAGAGACAAAUAGCCAUUUUUAGAUACCAUCUGUGAUCUGUGGAUCUCCGAUCGAGAAACCAUAUCCAAGAUCCGUGGCUAGUUUGCCCUCUUUGGACUUUUCAAACUUAUUGAACUAAAACAUCUUAGUAUCUAAAGAAAGGAAAAUCAACUGAGACCCCAUUAGUAUCAGUAAGCGAGAGCGGAUUGGGGGUUUGGUGAAUAACAAACAAGAAUCUUCAUUCCUCUUCUUUUAGGGUAGCUACUUCAUUCCUCAGCAAAGUGUUAACUUCUUUUUUACUAGGUUUUAUUUGAUUUGUUGUGGAUUGGAUGAUGGAAAAACCAACAAGCCACAGCUUCAAAGCUUACCUUAUUUAGAAAUUGAGAAAGACAUUUUUAUAAAUGUUGUGGUUGAAAAAAUGGGGCAUAGCUUAAAGAGAAAAGUUAUCUACGCUAUCCAAUCAAUGUUUUUUAGUAGCAAGCUAUGGUCUAACGACCCCCUAACCUCGAUUGGGGCAAAAAAUCCAAAAUCAAAAAUAAAAAAUAUUAGUUAGAGUUCUUCUUCUUUUUGUCGAGCUACUUCAUUCCAAACCUUUGUUUAAUGAUAAGGUAAGCUUUCAAGAUGUUGCCCUUUAAAGGAGUAGGCACAGUGAACUAUAAUUAUGAAAAUAUUAGAAGAUCUAGACAAAGAAGGUGAUAACCUAUAGAAUUAUUCCCAUGGUUUGAUCCUUCACAGUAAAACGUGGUGUGUUUGAAUUUUGAUCACUUUUAUGCGAGAAAGGGGGACCACCCUCUAAGCCCAAGUAUUCCUUAAUGAUCUAUAACAUACAAGUACCAUAAGGGAAGGUGAAAAGAACCCUAUUUAGGGAGUAGAAUAGAGAACUUGAGAUCUGAUGUGAACAAUCAGUCAAAAGAGCAAAGCUUAAAGCCUUUACUUUAUGUAAAGUGCACUCACUAUAAUGGCGUACCUUUUUCAUGAUGGGUCAAUAAGGAAAUAGGAAUAACAGCUUAAGCCAUUAGGUGUAGGCUCUUUCCAGAAAUGGAAUCUUCUAGUUCUUCCUAUUUUACCAAAAACCAAUCGAUCUAUCCAAUAGCAGGUUUAAGAGUGCUCUAACAGGCCUUGGAGAACUGAACCCGUGUAUGUGGAAAAAUACAAGGAUGACUUGUGGCAAGGGGUGAAAGUCCAACUAAGAUCAAAUAUAGCUAGUUUUUUGAAAAAUCUUUUUUAGUAGAGCAUAUGAUGUCAAUGGCUCGAGGCAGAGCACUCAAUUGGAUAGGGUGGCAUCAUAUUGCCUUACCAACCUUAGGAAAACUCUGAAUACAGACCUAGAUCAUUUUUAUAGAUAGACUUUUUGGGUGCUAAGAUAUAAAGUUGAGGGGGAAACAUCCCAGAUCGUACACUAAAGUCCCUAAUCAAUUACUAGUGGAAAAGAAAGUGAUCGAGCGAUGACAAUCUGGAGGUGAUCUUGGAAGCAGCCAUCCUUUGAAGAAAGCGUAAUAUCUCAUUGUUCUAGUUCCAUUGCACCAAAAAUAUAUCAGGGCUCAAGUGAUUCACCAAAGUGACAAGACCUUGAAAGCUUCUUUUCAAGUGUAAAUAGGAAAUGUUCUAUCAAUCAAGGAAGGUUUUGGAUGAAAGACCUGGAGAUAUCAGAAUUGAGAAUGAUAACAUGCAUAAAAAAUCAUGUGACAAACACAAUCGCCUUCUAGUGGAAUGUUUUCUAUGUUUAGUUAAUAUAUUGAGAGUGAAUCGGUCCCUAAGAAACUCCCAAAAGGGCCUAGUACGAUGGGUACAUGAAAGUGAUGAAGUUUCUUUGACAACAAAACCAUGCCUUUUUGUUAUAUCGAAUUAGAUUAUCAGGCUGAGGGAUUCCCCCUCUCCCCCUCACUCUCAUUUCCCUAAUAUGAACUUUAAGUCAUCAAAGCCUUUCUGACUCGGCCUGGACCUGUCGCCCUAUACGACUGGCACAUCAAAAGGCAAAACGUUCAGUCAUAGUUUGGUGACCUAUCAUCUGUAGUGGCUUUUAGUCUUUUGAUUAUGGUAGGGGUCGCGAGAGAUUAGAGUAUACCGUGAUACUAUAGUGACAAUACUAUUUAUAGUUGUGACUAGUAUCAUACUCAAUAAGGUUAAAACUUCUGAUGGGGAGGGCGACCCUCCUAGUGAACUAACCGUACCCCAAACUGACACGGGUAAACAAGUAGAGUAUACUAGGGCACUUGAGAUAACCAUUAAAGAAACUUGGAAACAUGACCCUAUAACUUUGGAAGAAGGGGUGCUCUCCUAUCUUUUGAUUAGGAAAGCGGAACAUACUAGGGGUAGCAACUAUUUAUUAAAAAUAGAAGACUCUGCUAAGUGGUAACACGAUGUAUAGAGUUUGACACCUGGGUGGUACUAAAUUGUUUGAAGGAGAAGUGUUAUAAACUUUGAAUAGAACCCUCAGUAAAUAGCGACAAUAAGUCUAACUAUCUUAAGGUAGCAAAAUUCCUUGUCUCGUAAGUAGCGACCUGUACUAAUAGUGUAAAAACUGCCCUACUAUCUCUAACCUGGAACCCAUGAAAUUAAAUUCUCUGUGAAGAAGUUGAGUACCAAUGGCUAGACAAUAAGACCCCAUGCACCUUGACUAUAGCUUUGAAAUGACAACCUUAAUCCGACGUGUAAGAUAGGUCAGAGGUUGUGACACACGACGACUAUUCUUGAAAGACCACUAUUUUAUCUUAGGAUUCCUAAUCACUUCAUUUAUUAUUCUGGGAGAGGUGAGACACUGCAAGGUGGGUAGUUUAUUUAGAGAGAAUACCUCCUAAAGAGUAAUAGAGGUGUACAAUGGUAGGAUUAAUAUAAGAUUCUGCUCGUGAGAAUAAUUGGAUAAGCCUUCCUGACUGUGAGAUCGACUAGUCAAAAAAAGAUGAAAGUCAGCCAUAGUGAUUCGAGAAGAAUGGCUCUCGCUCAACAAAUAAAAAUUUUGUUGGAUAUAACAGGCUGAUAACUCCCAGGAGCUCUUAUUGACCGAGUCGUUUGGUACUUUGAUGUAGAAUCAUCAUAUCCUAGGGUUGAAAAAUGUCAUAAGGGUUUGGUUCUUCACCAAUUCAAGUGGUACUUGAGUUGGGGUUAGAACGUCAUGAGACAGUUUGGUUCCUAUCUACUAUUGGUGUUAACUGGAUAACUGCGAGGAGCCAAUCCUAGUAUGAGAGAACUAGGUUGGUCAAACCUAUGGUGUACCAGUUUUCAUGCUAAUAACAGUGUCAGGAAACUAUGUUGGAAUGAAAGAACUAUAGUACUAUGGGAAAACCAUGUCUAUACAAGUUCUCAAAUAAGGUUUUUGAAUAGAACUUUGAUAUGCGAGAGGUGUAAUCAUCACAAGGUUGAUCGUUUUAAGCAACAUUUGGUUAUUUUUG
This is a non-coding RNA of Capsicum annuum, 3426 nucleotides long. Lineage: Eukaryota; Viridiplantae; Streptophyta; Magnoliopsida; Solanales; Solanaceae. The record is from Rfam.